Molecule: long non-coding RNA, 1909 nt
Organism: Phacochoerus africanus (Common warthog)
Lineage: Eukaryota; Metazoa; Chordata; Mammalia; Artiodactyla; Suidae
Exons: 5
Source: RefSeq, a predicted model, not a curated record
GCCCUGCUCCGCCGAGGGCACGUGAGCGCGCUGCGCGCUGGUUUCUAAGUUUAGCUGCGCCUGCCCAGGUGGGGUCGGGUGAGGUAAAGGCGGGCAGAGGGGACGAGAGGGCUGGGGGCGCGGUGCUCCGGGUCCCUUGCUGCCCCGCCGUCGGUCCUCUUGGAGGACGGGGCCGUCCCGCAAUGCACGAGCGCGGGCGCUUCCCCAGGCCAGCCCGAGGGGUGUCCUCCGGGUGCCAGCCCAGCCCCGAGCUCGCCUGGCUUCAGCGUGGACGCUCAAUAAAUAAAUCGCGGUUCCCUCCUGGAUGGCGACUUGGGACUUCCCCGAGAGGACCAGGGUUCUGGAAAGUUCCCUGGUGGACGGGGUGCAGUGGGCUGAAGUCAGAACAGGAGCGGGGCCUUGGCGAGGGCUGGGCGGGAGGCGUGGGCUGAGCCUGUCGGGGCGUCAGCCCUGGGUCCCCUCUGUGGGGCGGUCGCGCAGCAUCUCUCAGGGGGCCCUGCACUUGGCCAGCGUCGCCCUCCGCCGGGGGAGGGUCCUUCAGGACCCGCGCUGAGCCGCCGCGUCAGAAUCCGUGGCAGUGGGAGGGAUGGGGACCGUUGUGGGGUCAAGCUAAGCACAGAGGCCUGAAGGUCACCAGUUGAGCCACGCUGAUGCCCCCAAACCCAGGCGCUCCAAAGAAAGCAGUGCCAGGCCGCUUGUGAAAUCGACACGCUCCCCAUCUUUGGGCGGUGAGAUGGAUGGAGUUCUGGAAAGAAGCUCUGUCAGCGUAAAGUGAACUGCAAUUUCGACUUUGCAGAGUGGGCUGCCGUGUCACAGUGACCUGCAUUCUGGUGUGGCAUCGUCAGACCUCAUGGGGUUCGCCUUCGCAGGAACUUUCGUGAAGGUCCCUUCACUGCUUUCACCAGAGUGUGAGCUCCUCUGUGCCAUCACAAUGGACGAUUCUUUUGUACACAUGGCGAGGGGGGUGAAGCCCGUCGGCCACGCAGCCAGGACGCCCGGGUUCAAAUCUCCUGUGACUUGAGAAAGCAGGUAUUAGAGAAGUGAGAGCGGGACGUGAAAUCAGACUGCCUGGAUUCUCAUCUCAGCCCCUCCCCUGACAAGAUGAUGCCUUUGGGCAAGUUGUUCAACCAAACCCAGGGUCAGCCGCCUCCCCUGUGGAACGGAGGGUCCUGAGAGCACCCAUUUCAUCCCAUUGCUGGGAGCGUCGAAGGAGGUGACUCAGGCGAGGCAUUGGAGCCCCGCGCUUCGUGAACAGAGGCCCUGGGCCGCUUCUUCUGAGACGUAAAUAAGGAGUAGUUUGGAAACAGCCAAGCUAAGAUGCUUAUAUUGUCAUUACUGUGCCUUGGGUAAGUACACAAGGAUGUCACUUAAAUUCCGCAUACUGUAAAGCGAGAGAAUACACCGGAGAAUUCACAAAGGUCCCUGAAGUCAGAUAGCUUCUGAGGGGGAGUGGCGCGAGGAUGGGCCCAGCGUGGCGGGAGAAGCAUCUGCGAGGGAAGCGAGGGAAGGGAGGCAGUCACUUUGGCUCAAAACUGGCGCCACAACCGGACUUUGUCGUUUCCUGAACUGGGGCCUCGGUGCUCAGCCGAUGUUCAGGGCUGGUGCUGCCACGACGGGGGCCCCAGCCUGAGACCCCCCUGCUCUGGGCCAGUCGUGGGGGCGUCUGGGGAAAGCCUUUGGUCACGUUACGUGGACAGACCAAGUUCAAUUGUGGAGCAGGGAGCUGGUUCAAAGCUGCCCUUGGGGUUGAAUGAGCCGAGGCAAAGAAUUAGGCGUCACCUCAGAGGCACUUCCGUUACAUUGCAAGAGAUUCUGCAGGUUUGGAGGUUUCAUAUCCCCCAUACCUCUCAUCCUGUCAACACGUUAGCCCAAUUAUUAUCCCUUUUUUGUUGUUGUUGUUGUUGUUGUU